RNAcentral lists this transfer RNA (63 nucleotides) under Dolycoris baccarum (sloe bug). RNAcentral's name for it is "tRNA-Arg". The record is from RNAcentral. RNAcentral also lists the same sequence under 1 other name. Lineage: Eukaryota; Metazoa; Arthropoda; Insecta; Hemiptera; Pentatomidae.
AGAUGAGAAGUAAAAAAUUUACAGUUAGUUUCGACCUAACCUUAGGAAUAUUAUCCCUAUCUA